AAGGUUUUUAGUGUCCUGUUCCCCUCGUCAGAUCCAUCCAUCCGUUUUUCCAUCCGAUCCACCUGACGCCAUCGCAUCCCCUUCUCGCUCGCAGGAUUUCAGGCGAUUCGAUCCGGUCCAGGUCCAUGGACGAGAAUUUCAGGCGAUUCGAUCCGGUCCAGGUCCAUGGCGUCCACGGCCGUGGCGGCGCUCACGGUGACGGACGAGCUGGCCCUGCCGCUCCGCGCGGUGGGGGACCUGGCGGCGGCCGCCCGCGUCUCGCGGGAGGAGGUCGUCGUCAUCACGCAGUGCACCUCGCUCGGGGGCUGGCGUUAUGGAGGCUGUGUACGGCGACGACCACAAGUUCUCCGGCCUUCGAGUACAAGAGGCUGCUGCUUGACUAUAACAGCGAAAAUGUGCAAUGUUGGAUUAACGAUUGAAGUGCAUUAGCGGUUUAUCUUCUUCUUCACAAGUCUGUUUGCAAUGGGUGUACAUAACUGUCAUUUUUACCUCUUGCAUAUUUAACAUACAUGAAAAUAGUAGUAGGUAUUGAAAUAUAUGUGAAGGUAGAAGCUAUCACUGCUGCCUUGUGGGUCGUAAUUCUUUCUCUCCAGAUGUGUAUACUUCCUGAUGUAUUGCUCAUGCUCAUAUUCUGUACCGAGAUAGUCCUAAUAUCCGUAGGGUUGUAGAUUGAUUUCCCCUGAAAAAGCUAUGCUUCUUUCCUUGGAUGAUAAGCAUGUUCGGCAGCUAUGUGGAAUCCUUAAGAUAAAUGGUCUUUAGUUUCUUUUGGUGCAUCUGCAUGCACAUAACAGUCUGUUAGUUUCUAUUUAUAUAAUGAAGAAAAUAUGCUGAUGUCGUUUGUUUAUUAUUAUCUAUUAUCUGUAGAUUGAUUUUUAGGCCAUCAGUACUUGUAUGUAUAAUUUCUAGUAUCUUGAAUGAAUAAUUUUUCUUUAGGUGUCAUGCGUCUUGUGUUACUACAUACAUCUGUCGUGAAGUACAUGGUUCCAGAAGUAUGGUAACCUGUAGUUUGCUCUACUAGUGAUAGUAGGAUGAUGGAAACAUCACUACUGAAUGUAGUUCAUGUUUCUUCAACUAAUCAUGUACUAGAGUUUCUAUUCUUCUUGCUACUGUUUGGUUUUUGACGUCACUAGCUUGUACUGAAACGUGCAGACUUUACCCCUUGCUAGAUGCUUAGGUGGAGGUGACCCAGGUGAUGGUGAUUUGCUCCAGCAGUUUCAGUUCCGGCAAUGGUGGUGCUACACUGCUACUGCUCCUAUGAUGGCUAUGCAUUGGUAGGCUCGGCUGCCUCCCUUGGCUGUCGCUGUGAUGGUGAAGCUCAGCCUAGGCUACAACCACUUCCGAUGAGCUCCGCAGGACGGUCAAAGUUGUUUGACCAGACGGUAACGGCGCAGAAGGGCUUUUCUGUAAGGGCACCUAACGGCGGAGGGGCAAAUUUGAGCAGGCUUUCGAAUUAGGGGUAUAUCUGAUUAGGUGGUUCGAGUUAGGGACAGAAAUGCAAAUGGCCCUUUUUUCAAGGUCUAUACAAGUGCCAUCUUUGUCUGGCAACAUCUGCCUCCUGUGUCAUGUCAUGUAUCUAUUUCACUUUAAAUGUUUUAAGUGAAUGAUGUAUUACUUGCGAGUGUCGAUGUACUGAUGCAAACAGUGCUUGUGUACUUGUGACUAAUCUGUUUUCCCUCAU
Molecule: non-coding RNA, 1678 nt
Organism: Triticum urartu
Lineage: Eukaryota; Viridiplantae; Streptophyta; Magnoliopsida; Poales; Poaceae
Source: RefSeq, a predicted model, not a curated record